RNAcentral lists this ribosomal RNA (501 nucleotides) under uncultured bacterium. Its description in RNAcentral is "partial 16S ribosomal RNA". It matches the Rfam family "Bacterial small subunit ribosomal RNA", at positions 30 to 523 of the family's 1533-position model. The record is from RNAcentral.
AUUGAACGCUGGCGGCAGGCUUAACACAUGCAAGUCGAGCGGAGAUGAGGUGCUUGCACCUUAUCUUAGCGGCGGACGGGUGAGUAAUGCUUAGGAAUCUGCCUAUUAGUGGGGGACAACAUUCCGAAAGGAAUGCUAAUACCGCAUACGUCCUACGGGAGAAAGCAGGGGAUCUUCGGACCUUGCGCUAAUAGAUGAGCCUAAGUCGGAUUAGCUAGUUGGUGGGGUAAAGACCUACCAAGGCGACGAUCUGUAGCGGGUCUGAGAGGAUGAUCCGCCACACUGGGACUGAGACACAGCCCAGACUCCUACGGGAGGCAGCAGUGGGGAAUAUUGGACAAUGGGGGGAACCCUGAUCCAGCCAUGCCGCGUGUGUGAAGAAGGCCUUAUGGUUGUAAAGCACUUUAAGCGAGGAGGAGGCUACUGAGACUAAUACUCUUGGAUAGUGGACGUUACUCGCAGAAUAAGCACCGGCUAACUCUGUGCCAGCAGCCGCGGUAA